AGGAGUUUGGAUCCUGGCUACAGAACGAACGCUGGCGGCAUGCCUAACACAUGCAAGUCGAACGAUGCUUUCGGGCAUUGUGGCGCACGGGUGCGUAACGCGUGGGAAUCUAGCCCUCAGGUUCGGAAUAACAGUUGGAAACGACUGCUAAUACCGGAUGAUGACGUUAAGUCCAAAGAUUUAUCGCCUGAGGAUGAGCCCGCGUAGGAUUAGCUAGUUGGUGUGGUAAGAGCGCACCAAGGCGACGAUUCUUAGCUGGUCUGAGAGGAUGAUCAGCCACACUGGGACUGAGACACGGCCCAGACUCCUACGGGAGGCAGCAGUGGGGAAUAUUGGACAAUGGGCGCAAGCCUGAUCCAGCAAUGCCGCGUGAGUGAUGAAGGCCUUAGGGUUGUAAAGCUCUUUUACCCGGGAUGGUAAUGACAGUACCGGGAGAAUAAGCUCCGGCUAACUCCGUG
Molecule: ribosomal RNA, 458 nt
Filed under: uncultured Sphingomonas sp.
Lineage: Bacteria; Pseudomonadati; Pseudomonadota; Alphaproteobacteria; Sphingomonadales; Sphingomonadaceae
Description: bacterial SSU rRNA
Rfam family: Bacterial small subunit ribosomal RNA
Source: RNAcentral